RNAcentral lists this ribosomal RNA (497 nucleotides) under uncultured bacterium. Its description in RNAcentral is "partial 16S ribosomal RNA". It matches the Rfam family "Bacterial small subunit ribosomal RNA", at positions 28 to 507 of the family's 1533-position model. The record is from RNAcentral.
GAUGAACGCUGGCGGCGUGCCUAAUACAUGCAAGUCGAGCGAACGGACGAGAAGCUUGCUUCUCUGAUGUUAGCGGCGGACGGGUGAGUAACACGUGGAUAACCUACCUAUAAGACUGGGAUAACUUCGGGAAACCGGAGCUAAUACCGGAUAAUAUUUUGAACCGCAUGUUUCAAAAGUGAAAGACGGUCUUGCUGUCACUUAUAGAUGGAUCCGCGCUGCAUUAGCUAGUUGGUAAGGUAACGGCUUACCAAGGCAACGAUGCAUAGCCGACCUGAGAGGGUGAUCGGCCACACUGGAACUGAGACACGGUCCAGACUCCUACGGGAGGCCGCAGUAGGGAAUCCUCCGCAAUGGGCGAAAGCCUGACGGAGCAACGCCGCGUGAGUGAUGAAGCUCUUCGGAUCGUAAAACUCUGUUAUUAGGGAAGAACAUAUGUGUAAGUAACUGUGCACAUCUUGACGGUACCUAAUCAGAAAGCCACGGCUAACUACGUG